UACUACGUACCUUUCUAGGAGCUGCUGCGAAAGAACUUCUAACGAAGAGUGUACGUAUAGGAGCUCGAUAAUACGAGAAGAAACGAGGAUAAAGUGGCGAAGAUUGUCGACGUUCUUCGGCAGUCGAUCAGUCGUGUCGGGUGGUGUGCUGAGCAUCGUCGAGGAUCGUUCUUGCAGCAUGUGACGACGGCAGCAGCACCGCGGCGUGGUACGCCGCCUCCUCGCAUCAGUCGUGGAUGUUCGGCGCCCUCAUCGAUAGUCGACUGCAGCACCACCGCGGUGCAGCAGCCCGCCUAGUUUGUUGCGGUCAUCCAUCACGUUACUAUGUCUUCUAUGAGGAGGCGCGGUAGUGUGUGCAACAAAGACUACUGAUGCUGUAGGAGGAGGGGCGGGCGGUGGUACAACGACGACACAUCAUCACCUCACCAUACGUGGUGCUGAUGUGAGCGGUAUCGUGUGUUGUACGCUCACCUCUCGGGGUGACACGCUGUACGCUAAACUGAUCACGGUGUGAACGUCAAUCAUCUAUCCGACCCGUCUUGAAACACGGACCAAGGAGUUUAGCACAUGCGCGAGUCAUUGAAUACUAUUGUAAAUUCAUAGGCGUAAUGAAAGUGAAUUGUAGUGUGAACUGCUGCAUAUAUGCGAUCGACUCUUUUCUGGUCGAGCAGCAUAGCCCCGUUUAUGUUCAAGUGCGACGUGUGCGUAUGCUCUUGUAGUUUGCGUACCGACGCAUCGCGAACUGAACGGAGGAAGAGCGCAUGCGCUGAGACCCGAAAGAUGGUGAAUUAUGCCUGAGUAGGACGAAGCCAGAGGAAACUCUGGUGGAAGUUCGAAGCGAUUCUGACGUGCAAAUC
Molecule: ribosomal RNA, 857 nt
Filed under: Skrjabillaninae gen. sp. SKJ11
Lineage: Eukaryota; Metazoa; Nematoda; Chromadorea; Rhabditida; Skrjabillanidae
Description: partial large subunit ribosomal RNA
Rfam family: Eukaryotic large subunit ribosomal RNA
Source: RNAcentral